AAGAUAGUUUGCCUUUGUUUUUUGCUGCUAAAACUCAAAAAAUCACAAUCAUAUCCGGCAAUUUUGACAGUGAAAAGUUUGAUAAAGGCGAGGUUUUUAAUACCAUACAGUAAAAGUAUAUUACAUUUCUUCUUAGACAUACCAAAAAUUAGAUUUGAGAUUAGAGACAGAUUAGUUAGCGCCUUGCAAUUUCCAAGUGGUAUCGAAUGGCUUGCAUAUACUGACAAAUUCAUUUCAUACUGGAAUACAACCUGAUCUUUCUGGAAUCAGCGUUUUCACCACUGAGCUGUUGGGAUUUAGGCAGCCUAGUCCCAGUCGUUCUGAAGCAAGCGCGAGAAAAAACGUGGAUGUAGUACGAGACUGAGAUCUAGGUGUGACGUCACCGCUAAAGCGUUCUGCACAGCACACCCAGGCAUAAAACUUUUAAGACUUAUUUAAAUAUAUCAAAGCAGCGAAUAGUGAGAGAGAGCCUGGGACUAGGCUGGGAUUUAGGAAUACCACAUGAUGUAGCUCGCAAAAAUUGGAGACAAAUUGAAUGAUAUAUUUUUUUCAAAUUUAAACUAUAUAUAUAAGAAUAUUCAGGCAAAAUUUGUUUUGUAAAUGUAGAAUAAUUUAAUGGAGAAUUUGUAAAAAGUAUGCAAUAAUGUAAUAUAGUUUAUAUUUUAAAACAAAAUUAAAAAAUAAGAAAUGGAACUCUAUACAGUAAGUCUCAUGCAAUAUGUAUGCUAAUUCAGUGUAUAAUUGUUAUCAUCUUGUAAUAAGAUUGAUGA
RNAcentral lists this long non-coding RNA (770 nucleotides) under Paramuricea clavata. Lineage: Eukaryota; Metazoa; Cnidaria; Anthozoa; Malacalcyonacea; Plexauridae. The record is from RNAcentral.